GUGAUCACUUCGGCAGCACAUGUACUAAAAUUGGAAUGAUUCAGAGAAGAUUAGCAUGGCUCCUAUGCAAGGAUAACACAAUUCACGAAGCAUUCCAUACUUUU
RNAcentral lists this small nuclear RNA (104 nucleotides) under Sciurus vulgaris (Eurasian red squirrel). The record is from RNAcentral. Lineage: Eukaryota; Metazoa; Chordata; Mammalia; Rodentia; Sciuridae.